Molecule: ribosomal RNA, 526 nt
Filed under: uncultured bacterium
Lineage: Bacteria
Description: bacterial SSU rRNA
Rfam family: Bacterial small subunit ribosomal RNA
Source: RNAcentral
AAUAGAUACCCUGGUAGUCCACGCCGUAAACGAUGAGUGCUAAGUGUUAGAGGGUUUCCGCCCUUUAGUGCUGAAGUUAACGCAUUAAGCACUCCGCCUGGGGAGUACGGCCGCAAGGCUGAAACUCAAAGGAAUUGACGGGGGCCCGCACAAGCGGUGGAGCAUGUGGUUUAAUUCGAAGCAACGCGAAGAACCUUACCAGGUCUUGACAUCCUCUGACAACCCUAGAGAUAGGGCUUCUCCUUCGGGAGCAGAGUGACAGGUGGUGCAUGGUUGUCGUCAGCUCGUGUCGUGAGAUGUUGGGUUAAGUCCCGCAACGAGCGCAACCCUUGAUCUUAGUUGCCAUCAUUCAGUUGGGCACUCUAAGGUGACUGCCGGUGACAGACCGGGAGGAAGGUGGGGGAUGACGUCAAAUCAUCAUGCCCCUUAUGACCUGGGCUACACACGUGCUACAAUGGACGGUACAAAGAGCUGCAAGACCGCGAGGUGAAGCUAAUCUCAUAAAACCGUUCUCAGUUCGGAUUGU